This is a non-coding RNA of Macaca mulatta (Rhesus monkey), 2009 nucleotides long. NCBI's taxonomy places the organism in Eukaryota, Metazoa, Chordata, Mammalia, Primates, Cercopithecidae. The record is from RefSeq and is a predicted model, not a curated record.
AAAAAAAUAAGUUGAACGUUUUGUGUUUCUUGAGCCCAGUUGCCAAGGGCCUCGUGACUGGGCCUCAUGCCAAACAACUCGUUACAAAAAGAGGUAGGGUCCCAGACUGCGCCAAAACUUCAUGAGACCUCUCCUCGUCUGUGCAUGGACCAGUGGCCGACUCUGGAGCCCAGGCUGUUGCUUCUCAGUCUGGUGGUGAAUCCUCCAUAGUCUGGGAUUUUCUUAUGGGUAAAGAAGCCAAGCUGUAGAGGAAAAGAUAAGCGUCAUCGCCAAAUGCCUGGACUGGGAACCCUGCCAGUAGCUCUCAGACUUAUCUGAGAUCUUCACUUUUGUUCUGUUUCCAAAAAUGGAAUUCAAAUUUAUUUUAUUUGGCUUAGGAGAAUUUAACCAACAUUUGUGGGGUACAGUGAAGGAGACCUGGGCAUGACAUCCACAGCCUGCUUAGCUGCCCAGCACAAAUCAUGUUCUCUCUGCUAUAAUCAAGAAUUCUUCAACUCAUGGGCAGCAUGCUCCACACUCCCCACUAAAGCAGUGCUUACCUUCCACAGGCAGAAGACAAGGAGAGCAAGCAGGAGCAACCCUCCCAGGACACUGCCUAUGAGGAUCCACAGGGAGAUGAGGAUAGGCCGGGUCUGAACCACCUCCAGAAGGCUCUGUAUGGAGAGAAGAGUAGUUUUCUACAUGCAUUCUGUAACCCAACUAGUCUCAUCUCACACUAUACCAAAGCCAGCCCCUAAAUAGAAUAACCUCCUUCUACUUAAAAGAAAGAAACGGAGGCAGGAAUGGCGGCAGUGGAACACUAGGAUCCUGCUACCUGAUGGAGAUGCCUUUGUUCUGGAAAAGCCCACAGGUGGCCCUAUCCUAUACCCAUCAUCAUUAUUUUCACAGCUCUCAAACUCGGUCUCCGGCCCCACCUCACUCCAACGGGAGGCUUCAGUCAGCUGUAGGACACUGCCCUCCUCGGUUCCCAGCUCAAAGGUGCUGACCACCAUCAGGGACUUGAACUUGGCCUGUGGAACAAGUGGAUAGGAAGACAUUUAAAAUGAGCCAUCACCAGGUGAUGUAGUUGUUUAGAAUCCCAAUAGCAAAGUUGAGGCCGAGAGACAUAACCUCAAGGGCUCUCAAGACUAGAAGAAAAGGCUGAAGACCAAUGGGAAAAGAGAGGAAGGAUAAUAGAUGGAAAACCCCUGGUCACAUCUGCUGCUGCUGUUUGUUUUCCAAGGACAGUCAGUACAUCUGAGUUGCAGAUACCAGCGCUUUCCGCCGGCCACCUCGAACCACAAAUGGGGCCUUCCUGGGAAUGAUGAAUGAGGGAGAGACCAGGAGUUGAAGGAGGGGAGUGCCAAAAGUCUCACUUUUGUUAUCAUGGUUCCUGCCCUCUCCUUACCAGCACAUGGAAGUGUAGCUGCUCACAAGUGAUAUUCCCCACACUGAGCCGGAGCCUCCGAGGGGACAGCCUCUGGCCAGAGCCAUCAAAUGCUGCACGUGCCCCAGCCGUCCAUUCAUCCAGUGAUGCUGUGAACCUCAUGUCUGAAUGAAGGAGGCAAGAGUGAGGGUGGAAAGGGGUCUAGUGAGGAAGGCAGGCAAGGAAUUGAGAGUUGCCUGUGAUGCGCUUUAGUCACUCACAGAAUCGGCGAUCCCAGCGACCAGGAGUACGGGAGGUCACUUGGAAGCAGAGGGCUGCAGUCAGACAGACUGCCUCCUGGCCUCGCCGCCUACAGUCCCUCUGAACCACACUGAUGGCCUGUGGGGUCACCUCCAGUGACGGGGCCAGAUGGACAAUGGGCCGGGAGCUGGGAACAGUGUGGAAAAGAAAUUCUAUCAGUAGGAGGUAAGCCCUUGAGAAGCGCAAGCCCAGUGUUUGCUACUCCAUGGUUAAAACAAAGAAGGAGGGGCUGAAUGCAUAUGUCACCCUCCCCGGGAGCCCUCUGACAGAAGUAAGAUAAUAGAUUCAUGUCAUUGAUCUUUUUUUUUUUUUUUUUGAGAUGGAGCUCACUCUGUGGCCCAGG